GGAAGGAAUAUUUAAAUGGGUUCACAGAGUGUAUUCAAUCUUUCAUCUCACUGAUAGAAUCUAUAUGAUACAAAGUGACAUCUCACGGUGACACUUCCAAGCUAAAAGCCUAAAACACACUGAACUAGAAGCUCUCACACCAUCAACAUCCUGAGAAGGAAAUUAACUAGAAAUAUCUAAUAACCUCCUCUUCUCUAUAAUACCACAAAUGAUUUAUGGGAUUAAUCCCAACCCUGAAAAUUGGAUAGGCAGAGAGAGAGAGAGAGACCCUUUUCAUAUUUCACACCAAUACACACCAACCUUUUCAUAGGGUAUGAAGAACAGCAACAAAAGCAUUUAGGGGCCCAUUGCUAUGACCACCAUUGUCAUUAUAUUACAAAUAAUAUCACAUUUAAAAUUAUACAAAUCUUUUAUAAUUAAUCAGUACUAAUCACCAUUAGGGGCUGUAAAGGGUUUAAAUUUCUCUUCUAAGUGAUUUUGGUUAGUUUUAGGCCCAGGUUAUAAAAGCUAAAACUGUCUGCCAGUGAAGGUUUGGCCAAAUGCCCAGUUGGGAGGAGCAACAUUGCUGGAGAUGAUAGAGCGUCCAUCACUUGUUGCGACCUUGAAAGAGAGUGCUUGACCAUUAAGGUAAGAGUUGCUUUGCCAAUUUUGGCCCCAGUUGCGAGACAUUGGUUGCCAACCAGUUCUAGAUCCUUUGAUGGAAACAGACACAACAUCACCAGCACCACCAACAUUGGUUAUAAGAACAAGGUUGAAGUAUGAAUGACCAUUUAUAGUGAACCUUAUUCCUCCAAUUUUCCUACAAGCAACCCUGCAGCCAAAGUAGAGAGAGUGCAGUUGCUUUUAAUGCUUAUAUAGUUAAUCAAUUUAUAGUAGAUUGAUUGGAGAAAGAUGCUCUGCUAUUGGAGAAAGAUGCUCUGCUACCAUCUUAAACGUUCAAUUACACUGAAAGCUUAAACAACUGUAGAAAAUUUAAUGUUUUACCUUCUGUAUUGAACAGGGACUAUCCCUGCUUUGAAAUGAGCUAUGUGUUGAAAAACAGGCUGAGAAAGAUCAAAGUGUUGCAAAGGAGGAUUGCACCAGCCUCCUGCAUUGCUUGGGAGAGCAUUGUUGGGUGGGCAAAAAUUUGUUGCUGUGACAAUUAUGGAACCUGUUAGGCACCACCUGGCAUCAUUUACACACCUGAUUUCAAAACAUGCUCCACAAGUUUGUCCAUUGUUGAAUAGAGCAGUGCUCAAUGCGGCAGUGUUCGUCCCAUAGCCUUGGCUGUAGAGGUUUCCAUAACCACAAGCUCCUCCCAUUGUACCAGAAGCAUCACCACCUCCAUAG
This 1329-nucleotide unclassified non-coding RNA is filed under the name Hevea brasiliensis (rubber tree). Lineage: Eukaryota; Viridiplantae; Streptophyta; Magnoliopsida; Malpighiales; Euphorbiaceae. The record is from RNAcentral.